ACUGCAUUAUGAGCACUUGAAGU
RNAcentral lists this microRNA (23 nucleotides) under Sarcophilus harrisii (Tasmanian devil). RNAcentral's name for it is "Sha-Mir-17-P4a_3p* (star (passenger))". Lineage: Eukaryota; Metazoa; Chordata; Mammalia; Dasyuromorphia; Dasyuridae. RNAcentral also lists the same sequence under 2 other names. The record is from RNAcentral.